This 433-nucleotide ribosomal RNA is filed under the name uncultured bacterium. RNAcentral's name for it is "partial 16S ribosomal RNA". It matches the Rfam family "Bacterial small subunit ribosomal RNA", at positions 29 to 507 of the family's 1533-position model. The record is from RNAcentral.
AACGAACGCUGGCGGCAUGCCUAACACAUGCAAGUCGAACGAGACCUUCGGGUCUAGUGGCGCACGGGUGCGUAACGCGUGGGAACCUGCCCUUAGGUUCGGAAUAACUCCCCGAAAGGGGUGCUAAUACCGGAUAAUGUCUUCGGACCAAAGAUUUAUCGCCUUUGGAUGGGCCCGCGUUGGAUUAGCUAGUUGGUAGGGUAAAAGCCUACCAAGGCGACGAUCCAUAGCUGGUCUGAGAGGAUGAUCAGCCACACUGGGACUGAGACACGGCCCAGAAUCCUACGGGAGGCAGCAGUGGGGAAUAUUGGACAAUGGGCGAAAGCCUGAUCCAGCAAUGCCGCGUGAGUGAUGAAGGCCGUAGGGUUGUAAAGCUCUUUUAACCGGGAUGAUAAUGACAGUACCGGGAGAAUAAGCUCCGGCUAACUCCGUG